This 136-nucleotide ribosomal RNA is filed under the name uncultured bacterium. RNAcentral's name for it is "partial 16S ribosomal RNA". It matches the Rfam family "Bacterial small subunit ribosomal RNA", at positions 355 to 507 of the family's 1533-position model. The record is from RNAcentral.
UAGGGAAUGUACCGCAAUGGGCGCAAGCCUGACGGAGCGACGCCGCGUGAGGGAUGACGGCCUUCGGGUUGUAAACCUCUUUUACAGGGGACGAUACAAGACGGUACCCUGUGAAUAAGCCUCGGCUAACUACGUG